Molecule: ribosomal RNA, 774 nt
Filed under: Triticum aestivum (bread wheat)
Lineage: Eukaryota; Viridiplantae; Streptophyta; Magnoliopsida; Poales; Poaceae
Description: partial small subunit ribosomal RNA
Source: RNAcentral
AUGGCCGAUCAGGGCGACGGAGGGGCUCCGGCUCCGGCGGCACCGGCGCCGGCCGUGGUGCUGGGAGCACAGCCGGAAGAACCUGCCGGGGAUGCAGGCGUGGAGGAGCCGCUGGAAGUGCUGGAUGCUCCGGUGCCAGUGGUUGGUGAAGGCGUGGAGGACCCGCAGGAAGAAGAGGCUUUGGCUGGAGGCGACGAUCAGGCGCCGGCUAUGGGUGAAGGAGUGGUGGACCUGCUGAAGGGGCUCGUGGAACUGGAUGAACCCGAGCCGGAGAAUGUGGACGAGUCAGCUGUUCGCAACCUGAUGGACGAACUGGCGCAAGGGGAGCCCAAGAAACGGAAGAUCGACUACACGCUGGCCACACAAGGACCGUCGACUGCUGGUGGAUCCGGUGCCGGUGUUGCAACCCUCCCCAAGGCAGGCCCUUCUAUGUCGAUCUACACGAUGCCUUCCAUUGUGCCGCCGGCCGGGGCAGCUCCUCCCGUGAUCAUCCCCGGCCUGCCUUUCGUGGGAGUGCCACCUGUGGGAGCUGGCGGGAGGCCACGAUUACCAGCGCUGGCUACCGGCCCUGGUACCGGGGCGUUACAGCCGUGUCCCUCCUGCCACACAGCAAUCAGGCAGCCAAACCAGGCUCGCUUGGGCAUGCCCCCACCCAAUUGUCCAAACCCGCACUUCUGCUUGUGCCUGCCGUGCCAGGAGUGGCUGGAACGGAGGAUUUAUUACUGCGAGAUAUGCCGUGAUUUCUAUGCGAUGAACCCAGGUUUGAGGAGGUGA